AUCCAACUGACGAGUCUGAAAUAAGACGACAUGCAUAUCCUGGAU
Schistosoma haematobium is the source of this 45-nucleotide non-coding RNA. The record is from Rfam. NCBI's taxonomy places the organism in Eukaryota, Metazoa, Platyhelminthes, Trematoda, Strigeidida, Schistosomatidae.